Molecule: ribosomal RNA, 490 nt
Filed under: uncultured bacterium
Lineage: Bacteria
Description: partial 16S ribosomal RNA
Rfam family: Bacterial small subunit ribosomal RNA
Source: RNAcentral
GAUGAACGCUAGCUACAGGCUUAACACAUGCAAGUCGAGGGGCAGCGGGAUUGAAGCUUGCUUCAAUUGCCGGCGACCGGCGCACGGGUGAGUAACGCGUAUCCAACCUUCCGUACACUCAGGGAUAGCCUUUCGAAAGAAAGAUUAAUACCUGAUGGUAUGAUGAGAUUGCAUGAUAUCAUCAUUAACGAUUUAUCGGUGUACGAUGGGGAUGCGUUCCAUUAGGUAGUAGGCGGGGUAACGGCCCACCUAGCCAACGAUGGAUAGGGGUUCUGAGAGGAAGGUCCCCCACAUUGGAACUGAGACACGGUCCAAACUCCUACGGGAGGCAGCAGUGAGGAAUAUUGGUCAAUGGACGAGAGUCUGAACCAGCCAAGUAGCGUGAAGGAUGAAGGUCCUACGGAUUGUAAACUUCUUUUAUAAGGGAAUAAACCCUCCCACGUGUGGGAGCUUGUAUGUACCUUAUGAAUAAGCAUCGGCUAACUCCGUG